This 322-nucleotide ribosomal RNA is filed under the name Paecilomyces sp. SW272. RNAcentral describes it as "partial large subunit ribosomal RNA". It matches the Rfam family "Eukaryotic large subunit ribosomal RNA", at positions 331 to 670 of the family's 3401-position model. Lineage: Eukaryota; Fungi; Ascomycota; Eurotiomycetes; Eurotiales; Thermoascaceae. The record is from RNAcentral.
AGACCGAUAGCGAACAAGUAGAGUGAUCGAAAGAUGAAAAGCACUUUGGAAAGAGAGUUAAACAGCACGUGAAAUUGUUGAAAGGGAAGCGCUUGCGACCAGACUCGCCCGGGGGGGCUCAGCCGGCACUCGUGCCGGUGCACUCCCCCCCGGGCGGGCCAGCGUCGGUUUGGGCGGCCGGUCAAAGGCCCCCGGAAUGUGUCGCCCUCCGGGGCGUCUUAUAGCCGGGGGUGCAAUGCGGCCAGCCCAGACCGAGGAACGCGCUUCGGCUCGGACGCUGGCGUAAUGGUCGUAAGCGGCCCGUCUUGAAACACGGACCAAG